AUGGGACUGAAAGUAAUAGGAGCCAAAGGAAGAAAGGGUGACACUGGGUUAACUGGACCCCCUGGGCCCCCAGGAACUGUUAUUGUGACGUUAACUGGGCCAGACAACAUGACGGACUUGAAAGGAGAAAAAGGAGAAAAAGGAUCAAGAGGACCCCCAGGGCCAAUGGGGUUUACAGGGCCAGUUGGUGAUUCUCAGAGUGAAAAGGGUGACCGAGGAGAACCAGGAGCACAGGUAUGUGCAAACAGUUGAAUACACAUGUGUUAGUCCUUUCUGGAAAGCAGUUUUGAACUAGUGUUGCUGUCCAGGUUUUGCCUCACUGCUACUUGGAGCAAAUUUGCUUAGAUUCAAAAGCUCUUUCUUGCAGUAAACUAGACAAGAGCUGGAAGUCAAGUGACUUAAAUGAGUACUUUGAGUGAAGGUCAGUUGCUUGUGAGUAUGCUUCCAUUUUUUUUGCUAUAAAGGCUCUGCUGUUGAACUUAGUAAAAAAGUGCUCUGCUAUACAUGUACUAGCUUUAUAAUGCAAGGGUAUAAGUAGAAGAGAAAACACUGGGUUUACUUGAGGCAGCAGAUUUAAAUUAGUAUGUUCAACCAGCAGCUGUGUGGAGACAUGAAGAAAAGUUGCCUAAGAGUUAUUCCAUUAACAGCAUAGUAUAUGAAAAAAUAAUACGUUUAUUGUAAAAAGUAUACAUAUUAAAAUGCAAUUUACCUGAUUAUAUCUUUUUUUGGAAGAUAAUUAAUGGAAAGCUAUUACUUUUAUUCAAAUGCCCUUCAACUUGAAGAGAAAUUACUUAAUGAAAAGGAAUAGGGAGUGCACUUCAAAGGUAUCUGAAGCAGGGCAGUAGAUGGAAAAGUGAAAACAGAAGGAAGAAGCAUGUUUUGUCAUUUGUCUUGUUUCUGCAAGAGCCUGAUUUUUCACCAAGCUUUCUGUACUUCCCUGGCACUUUGUACUGGUGAAGUCUGGCAGAAGUAAUCCUCCACAGGAGGAGGAAUGUCAAUGGAAUAUCUUACUACCUGUUUUGUAGAGUUUUAUGAACUCUAGUUGUGAUUAAUGAAUACUUUAAAAUAACCUUAAUGGCUUUUUACAGUUUACACAGUUUACAGUUACACAGUUUACAGCAUCGAAUUGCUAUGCUCUUUGAAUGCAAUAUCCCCAAUUUUAGGGGUUUUUUAUUUUAUUUUACAUUUUUCCUUUGUAGGGCAAACCUGGAAAAGAAGGUGCCCCAGGUCCACCUGGCUUACCGGUAAUGAAGGAAGCCUUCUAAAUGUUUUCUGAGUAGUAGUCAUCUGUUUAUGACAAUUCUAUCUUCCUGUCACUGCUUUCUCUCAUUGUGGAAAGUGUUUGAAAAGUUGAUUUGCAUACACUGAAACAUUUCCUUCACACAGCUGGCCUUGGAACAUACCAUGUUCUUGUAGAUUUAUGUGCAGGAGACAGAGGCUCAGGUCAUAGAUGCUAUUGCUUCUAUGUCAAAUAAAGACCUGUUGCUUGCUGCUGACUGUCUAAUGAGUUUGAGACACACUCCAAGUUAAGCAAAAUUAAUUCUACUGAGUUUUUUUCUGGUUAGUCACAUGAAAUUUUUGCAAAAGAGUUAUACCUUCCCUUUAACGUAAAUUGAGAAGAGAAAUUAAUGGUUUUUAAUCACUAGAAUCAGAGACACUGUUUUAUGAAGGAAAGUUAUUGCCAGGGUCAUGGCUGUCUUGGCCUGAAACAAGAUGACUGAUAGCUAUUAAACUGUCAUUUUGUCAACAUAUAGUUCUUAAAAUAUGCCAUUUUAGAAGUAAAAUUGUCUCAUUUGUGUACUAAUAUAAAAGCUGAUGUUGUUCAAAUGUGUUUUCAAUGGGUUAAAUAUCAGUUCUUUUAUUUACUUCAC
Corvus moneduloides (New Caledonian crow) is the source of this 1871-nucleotide long non-coding RNA. Lineage: Eukaryota; Metazoa; Chordata; Aves; Passeriformes; Corvidae. The record is from Ensembl.